Molecule: transfer RNA, 63 nt
Filed under: Ictidomys tridecemlineatus (thirteen-lined ground squirrel)
Lineage: Eukaryota; Metazoa; Chordata; Mammalia; Rodentia; Sciuridae
Description: Spermophilus tridecemlineatus (thirteen-lined ground squirrel) tRNA
Rfam family: tRNA
About the family: Transfer RNA (tRNA) molecules are approximately 80 nucleotides in length. Their secondary structure includes four short double-helical elements and three loops (D, anti-codon, and T loops).
Source: Rfam by way of RNAcentral
GUGUGGCUCAGUGGUAGAGUGCUUGCCUAGCAUGUGGGAGACCCUGGGUUCAAUCCCCAGCAC